Molecule: non-coding RNA, 462 nt
Organism: Cinara cedri
Lineage: Eukaryota; Metazoa; Arthropoda; Insecta; Hemiptera; Aphididae
Source: the annotation of a GenBank genome assembly
CCUAGAUUCAAAACAAAGUCUUCAAUUAAUACCAAAUAUAUAUUAUGAAGUUCAUUGUCUGUUAUAUUAUUUUUAAGGUGUUGUCUACAGUAUUGUCGCCGAAUAUCGUCCGAAAAACCGUGUUUAUAUUUAUUCCAAAGACUUCUGGAUGACAAAAUAUUAAUAUUACACUGAAAGUCCUUGCAUUUUAUUAGAUGAACGACAUAAUGCUACUUCUUCUAAAGUAAAAUCCCACUGCUUGUCAUCUUCCAUUAAUCCAAGUGCGACUUGAAAUGUCGGAUACUCGGUAUUGUUCACAGUAUUCAAAAAAAAUUUAAUACAGUACCUUUUAUGUGAUGAUGAACAAAGCUAAGAUGGUAAAAUUCAACAUUGCUUGGAUGAAUUGUAUAAACUAUACCCAAGGUUGUAUCUUUCUUAACUCCUGGCCAACAUGCGACAUUCUGGCCUUGUUUACGUCUAACA